Molecule: ribosomal RNA, 494 nt
Filed under: uncultured bacterium
Lineage: Bacteria
Description: partial 16S ribosomal RNA
Rfam family: Bacterial small subunit ribosomal RNA
Source: RNAcentral
GACGAACGCUGGCGGCGUGCUUAACACAUGCAAGUCGAACGGUGAAGCGCCUUCCUUGUUGGUGGGUGUGGAUGAGAGGCGAACGGGAGAGUAACACGUGAGUAACCUGCCCCCUUCUUUUGGAUAACCGCAUGAAAGCGUGGCUAAUACGGGAUAUUCUGGGGCUGUCGCAUGAUGGGUCUGGGACGGCUAUUGGUUCGGUGGGGGAUGGGCUCGCGGCCUAUCAGCUUGUUGGGGUGGUGAUGGGCUACCAGGGGGGUGACGGCUAGCCGGCCUGGGAGGGUAGCCGGUCUCACAGGGUCUGCGGCACCGUCCAGACUGCGACGGGAGGCAGCAGUCGGGAAUAGUGCACAAUGGGCGAAAGCCUGAUGCAGCGACGCCGCGUGAGGGAUGGAGGCCUUCGGGUUGUGAACCUCUUUCGCCAGUGAAGCAGGCCUGCCUCGUUUGUGGGUUGGUUGACGGUAGCUGGUUAAGAAGCGCCGGCUAACUACGUG